GGGACAUUGGGGGGGCAUUGGGGACAUUUGGGACAUUGGGGACAUUGGGGGGAUUGGGGACACUGGGGACAUUGGGAACAUUGGGCGGGCAUUGGGGACAUUGGGGACAUUGGGGACAUUGGGGGGUUUGGGGACAUUUUGGGGGCACAGAGGCCACGUCCCCAAUGUCCCCAAUGCUGUCCCCAAUGUCCCCGCUGAUGUCCCCAAUGUCCCCAAUGCUGUCCCCGAUGUCCCUAAUGCUGUCCCCGCUGAUGUCCCCUGAUGUCCCCAAUGUCCCCAAUGUCCCCAAUGCUGUCCCCAAUGUCCCCGAUGAUGUCCCCAAUGUCCCCAAUGUCCCCAAUGAUGUCCCCGAUGAUGUCCCCACUGAUGUCCCCUGAUGUCCCCACUGAUGUCCCCGCUGUCCCCAGGGAGGUGUUCAUGGGCGAGGACCCGGCGCAGCCGCGUCGUUACAAGAAGAAGAAGAAGGAGACGCCGGGGGAGGGGCCCCCGGACUCCCCCACCAACGACCCGACGGUGAAGUACGAGACGCAGCCGCGCUUCAUCACGGCCACGGGGGGCUAUUAGACCAUCAUUAAUGGCUAUUAAAGCCUAUUAAUUUAAGAAUAUGUUACUAAUUACUAAUUAUUAAUUAAUUAUUAAUUAUUAAUAAUUAAUUUAUUAGCCGACGGUGAAGUACGAGACGCAGCCGCGCUUCAUCACGGCCACGGGGGGCUAUUAGACCAUCAUUAAUUAUUAUUAGAGUCCAUUAAUUAACAAAUACGCUAUUAAUUAUUAAUUAAUUAUUAAUUAUUAAUUAUUAAUAAUUAAUUUAUUAGCCGACGGUGAAGUACGAGACGCAGCCGCGCUUCAUCACGGCCACGGGGGGCUAUUAGACCAUCAUUAAUGACUAUUAGAGUCUAUUAAUUAACAAAUAUGCUAUUAAUUACUAAUUAUUAAUUAAUUAUUAAUUAUUAAUAAUUAAUUUAUUAGCCGACGGUGAAGUACGAGACGCAGCCGCGCUUCAUCACGGCCACGGGGGGCUAUUAGACCAUUAUUAAUGGCUAUUAAAGCCUAUUAAUUUAAAAAUAUGUUAUUAAUUUUUAAUUAAUCAUUAACUAUUAAUUAUUAAUAAUUAAUUUAUUAGCCGACGGUGAAGUACAAGACGCAGCCGCGCUUCAUCAUGGCCACGGGGGGCUAUUAGACCAUCAUUAAUUUAUUAUUAGAGUCCAUUAAUUAACAAAUACGCUAUUAAUUAUUAAUUAUUAAUUAACUAUUAAUUAUUAAUAAUUAUUUUAUUAGCCGACGGUGAAGUACGAGACGCAGCCGCGCUUCAUCACGGCCACGGGGGGCACGCUGCACCUGUACCAGCUGGAGGGGCUGAACUGGCUGCGCUUCUCGUGGGCGCAGAGCACCGACACCAUCCUGGCCGACGAGAUGGGGCUGGGCAAGACCAUCCAGACCAUCGUCUUCCUCUACUCCCUCUACAAGGAGGUGGGGCCUGGGGACAUCUCUGAGGGGUUUGGGGACAUCCUCAUGGGGCUUGGGGACAUCUCUGGGACAUCCCUGUGGGGUGAAACCAUCCAGA
This 1564-nucleotide long non-coding RNA is filed under the name Cyanistes caeruleus (blue tit). Its description in RNAcentral is "lncRNA (ENSCCEG00000003310.1)". Lineage: Eukaryota; Metazoa; Chordata; Aves; Passeriformes; Paridae. The record is from RNAcentral.